GGGGAGCAUUACAGAGAUGAGAUGUUGCCUGAUACAACCUUCCUACAUAAAAUUCUGUAUUUUCCUGCUUGUAGCACUUGAGCUAGUUUCUACAAGCCUCAUAUCUACAGAGACAUGA
This is a non-coding RNA of Gossypium hirsutum (cotton), 118 nucleotides long. The record is from Rfam. Lineage: Eukaryota; Viridiplantae; Streptophyta; Magnoliopsida; Malvales; Malvaceae.